Molecule: ribosomal RNA, 626 nt
Filed under: Nebela flabellulum
Lineage: Eukaryota; Tubulinea; Elardia; Arcellinida; Hyalospheniidae
Description: partial small subunit ribosomal RNA
Rfam family: Eukaryotic small subunit ribosomal RNA (bases 369-626)
Source: RNAcentral
GCGAUGUCAUCAAAUUGCGGGAAGUCCCUAAAGCUCCAACUACCAAGCACAUUCAGAAAUGAAGGUGUGGCCAGGGUAAUGACCUAGGGUAAGGUAAAAAUGUUGGAGAUACUACAAUGGGUAAUCUGCAGCCAAGUCCUAAGGAGAUUUAAAUCUCUAUGGAUGCAGUUCACAGACUAAAUGGUGACAGGCAUUUUGAAAAAAUAGAUCAAUUUGCUCAAGAUAUAGUCGAGCCCACUGUGAAAGCAGUGUCUACGUGGAGGAAAUGUGUAGAACAUCCCAUCUUUGUAUAAGAUUCUACAACAUGGAGAGCCACGUAGAAAUUUAACGUUAAAAAUGCUUUUUUUAACGGUAAAUUGGGAAAUCUGUAAUUUGACUCAACACGGGGAAACUUACCAGGUCCAGACACAAUAAGGAUUGACAGAUUGAUAGCUCUUUCUUGAUUCUGUGGAAAGUGGUGCAUGGCCGUUUUUAGUUGGUGGAUUGAUUUGUCUGGUUAAUUCCGUUAACGAACGAGACCUAAACCUACUAACUAGUUAAUGGUAACUUGGACUCUAUCUAGAGACCUCAUAUUUAUCCAAACUUCUUAGAGGGACUCUUUAUACUUAGUGAAUGGAAGUUAGCAC